CCCGCGUGGACGCCCCUGGCCCGGGGAGGCCUCGACGACGAGCGCGGGCUUCGCAGCCGUCUCGGACCCAGCGCCCAACUCGGGGACCCACGCGGGCACGAGGAGGCCUCAUUGCUGGGCGGGGCCGCGGGAGCCAGUAGCAGACGGCCACGGGGACGGUCGGGGCCUCGAGGCUCCCCCUGACCCCGACCGGCGCCUCCCGAGGCGGGGGAAGCCUCCCUCGGGGUCCGGCCCUGACCGUAGGCCGAUCCCCGCUGCCUACCCGGGCCUCGGCGCCCAAGUCUGGCUCUUCACGCCCGUGGUAGCCGAGGCUGAGGGGCUCUUGGCUGGAGAAAGGACAGCUGCCCGGUACCCCCCGACUGAGCCAUCGCCCUUCGGACAGCAGGAGCAGCCCUAA
Molecule: long non-coding RNA, 397 nt
Filed under: Ursus americanus (American black bear)
Lineage: Eukaryota; Metazoa; Chordata; Mammalia; Carnivora; Ursidae
Description: lncRNA (ENSUAMG00000008737.1)
Source: RNAcentral